ACCUGGAUAGCUCAGUUGGUUAGAGCGUGGUGCCCAUAACGCCCAGGUUGCAGGUUCGAUCCCCGUAUGGGACA
Podarcis lilfordi (Lilford's wall lizard) is the source of this 74-nucleotide non-coding RNA. NCBI's taxonomy places the organism in Eukaryota, Metazoa, Chordata, Lepidosauria, Squamata, Lacertidae. The record is from the annotation of a GenBank genome assembly.